UCGAACGGGCACCUUCGGGUGUCAGUGGCAGACGGGUGAGUAACACGUGGGAACGUGCCCUUCGGUUCGGAAUAACUCAGGGAAACUUGAGCUAAUACCGGAUACGCCCUUAUGGGGAAAGGUUUACCGCCGAAGGAUCGGCCCGCGUCUGAUUAGCUAGUUGGUGGGGUAACGGCCUACCAAGGCGACGAUCAGUAGCUGGUCUGAGAGGAUGAUCAGCCACACUGGGACUGAGACACGGCCCAG
RNAcentral lists this ribosomal RNA (246 nucleotides) under uncultured bacterium. Its description in RNAcentral is "partial 16S ribosomal RNA". It matches the Rfam family "Bacterial small subunit ribosomal RNA", at positions 62 to 334 of the family's 1533-position model. The record is from RNAcentral.